GUGGGGAAUAUUGGACAAUGGGCGCAAGCCUGAUCCAGCCAUGCCGCGUGAGUGAUGAAGGCCUUAGGGUUGUAAAGCUCUUUCAGUGGGGACGAUAAUGACGGUACCCACAGAAGAAGCCCCGGCUAACUUCGUGCCAGCAGCCGCGGUAAUACGAAGGGGGCUAGCGUUGUUCGGAUUUACUGGGCGUAAAGCGCACGUAGGCGGAUCGUUAAGUCGGGGGUGAAAUCCUGGAGCUCAACUCCAGAACUGCCUUCGAUACUGGCGAUCUUGAGUCCGGAAGAGGUGAGUGGAACUCCUAGUGUAGAGGUGGAAUUCGUAGAUAUUAGGAAGAACACCAGUGGCGAAGGCGGCUCACUGGUCCGGUACUGACGCUGAGGUGCGAAAGCGUGGGGAGCAAAUGGGAUUAGAUACCCGUGUAGUCC
Molecule: ribosomal RNA, 425 nt
Filed under: uncultured bacterium
Lineage: Bacteria
Description: partial 16S ribosomal RNA
Rfam family: Bacterial small subunit ribosomal RNA
Source: RNAcentral